UAAUAUUGUCCAUUCACCUAGGUAGAAAAAGGAAAAUGAAAAGAAAAGGAUGGAAACCUGGAGAAAAAAGAAGCAAACAAUUCGCACGGGCAGUAUCAAACGUAAAUUUCUCCCUUCCGCUGGCACAAAGCGCCGCCCAGAGGCGAGUAGCGCAGAAGCUGCGAUGACCGCCUGCGACCUGCCUCGUCGUCUCCUUCCCCGCAAGCGCCACCACCGUCGCCGGGCUCAAGGGCCGAGCGAGCGCGAAGCACGCCGCCUGUUUCCCUCGCACCGGGCUAAUCGCCGUCACAUCCUUGUAGAGUUGCAGGUUAAGCUCGAUGGCUCCUGGUUUCAGGUCAUAUGAUUGCCAUAUGAUUUGUAAGAUCAUUCACAUGGUUUGGGGGGAAAUCCCUCUGGUGUCCAGGGAACGAGAUCCUCUAAAGUCGGCAAAAACGACUUCCCUCUCCAGUCACGCAUCUGACCCGUUGCUUUCCUAUCCAACCAUCAGAUGUUCCAUCUCCUGUCUCACGGACGGUGCCCCAUUAGGCUUGCUGGGCCGGCCCAACAUCAGGGACGACGCGUACGUAUAUCUGCUAGUGGGGAACUGUAAGUUUCCUGGCGCGAAUAAUCGCUGCUUUGGCGCCGGACUCACAUUUUUGGCGCGAGCAGCGAACGUCGUGCGGCGGCGAUCGCGGAUCGACGAAGGCCGUGCGUCAGGCUCAGACCGGUAUAGAAGCUUGAAGGAAACAUCAACUCUCUUGCAUCAAAAUUAAAUCUGCAUACCGAAGAUGGAAGAAAAUAGGGAAGGCUUGAUUUCUAGUCUUUUACCUCAAGUUGGCAUGGAGUUCAAUACUAUAGAUGAGGCCUGGAUGUUUUGGAUUAGCUAUGGGGGUCAAAAAGGCUUUGAGGUGAGAAAAAUGUACACAAACAAAAGAA
Long non-coding RNA from Panicum hallii, 915 nucleotides. RefSeq lists it as uncharacterized. NCBI's taxonomy places the organism in Eukaryota, Viridiplantae, Streptophyta, Magnoliopsida, Poales, Poaceae. The record is from RefSeq and is a predicted model, not a curated record. The transcript is spliced from 5 exons.